AUUGAACGCUGGCGGCAGGCCUAACACAUGCAAGUCGAGCGGAUGAAGGGAGCUUGCUCCUGUCUUCAGCGGCGGACGGGUGAGUAAUGCCUAGGAAUCUGCCUGGUCGUGGGGGCUAACGUCCGGACACGGGCGCUAAUACCGCAUCCGUUCUGAGUGAGAAAGUGGGGGAUCUUCGGACCUCACGCUAUCAGAUGAGCCUAGGUCGUAUUAGCUAGUUGGUGAGGUAAAGGCCUACCAAGGCGACGAUCCGUAACUGGUCUGAGAGGAUGAUCAGUCACACUGGAACUGAGACACGGUCCAGACUCCUACGGGAGGCAGCAGUGGGGAAUAUUGGACAAUGGGCGAAAGCCUGAUCCAGCCAUGCCGCGUGUGUGAAGAAGGUCUUCGGAUUGUAAAGCACUUUAAGUAGGGAAGAAGAUCAGUAAGUUAAAACCUUGCUGUUUUGACGUUACCAACAGAGAAAGCACCGGCUAACUUCGUG
This 484-nucleotide ribosomal RNA is filed under the name uncultured bacterium. RNAcentral's name for it is "partial 16S ribosomal RNA". It matches the Rfam family "Bacterial small subunit ribosomal RNA", at positions 30 to 507 of the family's 1533-position model. The record is from RNAcentral.